RNAcentral lists this ribosomal RNA (516 nucleotides) under uncultured bacterium. RNAcentral describes it as "bacterial SSU rRNA". It matches the Rfam family "Bacterial small subunit ribosomal RNA", at positions 8 to 518 of the family's 1533-position model. The record is from RNAcentral.
AGGGUUCGAUUCUGGCUCAGGAUGAACGCUAGCGGCAGGCUUAACACAUGCAAGUCGAGGGACAGCGGGAUGUAGCAAUACAUUGCCGGCGACCGGCGGAUGGGUGCGUAACGCGUAUGCAACCUACCUUAUACAGGGGAAUAACCUUUCGAAAGGGAGACUAACACCCCAUAGUAUUGAUUUAAGGCAUCUUAGAUUAAUUAAAUAUUUAUAGGUAUAAGAUGGGCAUGCGUAUGAUUAGCUAGUUGGUAAGGUAACGGCUUACCAAGGCGACGAUCAUUAGGGGUUCUGAGAGGAAGGUCCCCACACUGGUACUGAGACACGGACCAGACUCCUACGGGAGGCAGCAGUGAGGAAUAUUGGUCAAUGGGCGCAAGCCUGAACCAGCCAUGCCGCGUGCAGGAAGACGGCCUUAUGGGUUGUAAACUGCUUUUACAUAAGACUAACCGUAUAUUUGCGAAUAUACCUGAAUGUAUUAUGAGAAUAAGGAUCGGCUAACUCCGUGCCAGCAGCCGC